AUACCUACGGGAGGCAGCAGUGGGGAAUAUUGCACAAUGGGGGGAACCCUGAUGCAGCGACGCCGCGUGAAGGAAGAAGUAUUUCGGUAUGUAAACUUCUAUCAGCAGGGAAGAAAAAGGACGGUACCUGACUAAGAAGCCCCGGCUAACUACGUGCCAGCAGCCGCGGUAAUACGUAGGGGGCGAGCGUUAUCCGGAUUUACUGGGUGUAAAGGGAGCGUAGACGGCUGUGCAAGUCUGGAGUGAAAGGCAUGGGCUCAACCUGUGGACUGCUUUGGAAACUGUGCGGCUUGAGUGUCGGAGAG
Molecule: ribosomal RNA, 305 nt
Filed under: uncultured bacterium
Lineage: Bacteria
Description: bacterial SSU rRNA
Rfam family: Bacterial small subunit ribosomal RNA
Source: RNAcentral